CCGAACGCGGUGGUGUAGGGUUUCUUUUUCCUUUUUUCCCGAAAUGCAUGUCCCUUCUGCGUUAGAAAAUCCCUUCUCACUUUCCCAAACGCGCAGCCUUCUUUCGUUAGUCAUACCCUACAGGUGAAUUCAAUUCCAUUCCCGCGGAUUUUUAUUUCGCUUCCUUGUCCCAUCCUGUGAAGCUCCCGUCUCCUUGCUCCGGCUUUCACAGAGAACCGAAAGAUCCUUUCUCUCUGUUCCGGCUGCCGCUCCCCUUUGCAAAGGUGUCCCAUCUCUCUCGCCAAACUGCUGCUCAGUCUUGUAAUACAAGCAGGGCCCUGCUCUGGAGACAUUCCAGCACGAGCUAGAGAAGGAAAAGCACUACGAAGAAGUCUUGCAGCUGCCAAUAAUGGAAGGGUUAGAUGACACCAGCGUCAUGGUAGAGAUGAAAGCGGCACUAAGGCAGUAUGAGCAGAUAGGAUCAAACCUUGGGAUCACUGCCACCUGCAAUUUUCCGCUGCAGAUCCAAGCAGAUUAACCAGAUGGAUAAUCGGGGAGGAGGGCAGAAAGAGGUUCAAAGGUGUCAUCAAAGAUAGGAGUGAUUGAGUCGUUACUGGAAAAGGUUGAUAUUCUUCUUCUUGGUGGAGGAAUGAUCUUCACAUUUUAGAAGGCACAAGGUCUUUCAGUGGGAUCACCACUAGUGGAAGAGGAUAAGCUCGAUCUUUCUUGAGAAAGCCAAAGCCGAAGGAGUAUCUCUCUUGUUGCCCUCUGAUGUUGUUAUUGCUGACAAAUUUGCUCCUGAUGCCAACUGCAAGACUGUUCCACUUUCUGCGAUCCUUGAUGGUUGGAUGGACUUGAUACUGGUCCCGACUCCAUCAAGACAUUCAGUUAGCUAAAGGCACCUACCCUACAUCUAAACCCCCUAGAAAGUUGAAAAGGGAAGACGGUUAAUUUCCCUUCACAAAUUGUGCAUUGCUGAAAGUUUCAUUUUUGGAAGAACUCCAAUGUCCCCGAGGGGACAUUGGAACAUUCUUCUUCACAGAGUGUGACCAGCAUUUCUGGCCCCAUAUCAAUGAGACACAAUAAGCAAUUGCAGCAUAGAAGAAGAAGAAGAAGAAGAAUAAGAAGAAGAAGAAGGUGAAAUGUAUAUGCCCAGCAGGGGGGUUGUUGGGAGCUGACGAUUGUCCUAUACUCUUUGUUCGCAUUAGAAGGCCUCCAAAGUCCCUUGGAUGGUGCGGUGAUAGAUAUUGUAUGAGGGCUAGGGUGAGUCCUCAUGUGGCCCAAAUGAGUGUGCUGUCCAUGUUUCUUAAAGCAGCAGCAUGGCCCUGAGUAAGGGGGAAUUAAGUCUUGUAAUGUUGAAAAUAAGAGAUGGAAGUCUUGUAAAAUCUUGGAUUGAUCUAAUUAUCUCGUCACUUUUGAAGAUUAUGAUCAGGUGCAGCAUGAAAUUGGCCCGUUUGUUAGAGACAUCAUCUCUGGUGACAGAAACAGAGAGGGACAAUGGGCAGAAUGGCCUGUCAUUGCUCAGUGUCUUCAGACCCAUCUUUCUAUGGGGAACGAUUCUCUGAUUUGGAGGCAUAAUGGCCAGGUAAUUUUGUCUAGAGCUUGACAAAAUAUUUGUAUUAAAGGAACUAUCAGUUGGCAUGGAAAGAUUUGACUCUCAAAUUCAAUUCCAGGGGCCAAUUGGUUUGUUUAUAUGGGGAGUUAUGGCAGGCUAGUGAUGGAGGCAAAUGGGUAUUGCUUUAGGCUUUUAGCCUCUCAGUGGAGGCUGCUUUUUUCUUCUGUGGAGGAUCAACAGCACAUCAUUUUCUUCUGCUUUGUUCCUAAAUCCAUUUUGUUAUAUGUUAUGGCAUGGUUUGGAAUUCUAUCCUUCCUAAUGGAGACUUUGGUUCUACUUGUAAAGAAUUCAAAAAGUUGUGGAUACUUUGCUUUAAUGUUGUUUAUAUGGAGAAUUUGGACAAUUAGGAAUCAUGUGUAUCAUUCUGCGCAUGUUCAAUCCAUUAUGCAUAUAAAAAGGGAUGGUUGGCAGACAUGCUCUGAGGCAUUCUUUAAGCAGAAGUGGCAGGAACAGGUUUUGGUGGCUAUAAAACUGUGGCUCAAGACCAAGAUUCUCUCCUUUUAGGAAAGUAAAUCCUCCUAAUGGCUGGGUAAUUGAAAUUUUAAGUAUGCUGUCAAAAGGUGUUCCUCUAUGUGGAGCUGUUCUUCUGCUCAAUGAUAGUCUUAUGUGCAGAAAAUGUGCAUCAGAUCAUGAAGAGGUAGGCAUGGUUGAAACAUCUCUCCUGUUUGCACAUGGUUCCAAGAACUGAGCAGUCUAUUCAUCUAUUGCUGUUGAAUCCAACAACAGAAUUUGGAUGAGAUGGCUUCAAGACAGAAAAUUGAAGAUGGCAUUGGAUAUCAAGAGUUUUAUGAGAAGAAUAUCAAGGAACAACUUCAGAAGAGAACUCCAUAAUUUUCUUAUCUUAAUGUUGAGUUAAUAAAAAAAGUAUGAAUUUCUGUGAAGUGCAGGGACAAUUGUCUGAUUUUCAGCAUUGUCACAUACAAUGCAUAUUAUUCGAAAAAAACACGUAUUAUACAUGUUUUUUUUCUCCCUUUUUUGUAUUUUAUUUUUUUAUAAUUUUCAGGUUUAUUAAAUGUUUAAAUUUGUUAAAAAUUUGUCAAGAUUUUCCCAAUAUAUAUACCAAAAAAAUUCCUCGUCGUAUAAUACCCGUAUAUGAUAUAUGUGACAAUGAUUUUCAGCACCUAUUUUCUGUUGGUGGAAAUUCUCAGUGACAAGAUGGCCAAAAGCUGUCAGCUUGCAUCUAUUCUAUAUUAUGUCCUUGAAAACCUGGAACCUGAACAAAAAAUUAACAAGGAAGUCAACCUGUGAAGUAUGACUUUCUUUUAACUCGCUAUUGCUCUUAUAUGAAAGUGACAAAUGCAUUCCAUUAGGCCUGGGCGUCGGACUGGGCCGCCAUCGGGUACCCAGACCGGUCGAGCUCGGGUCCGGGUUAGAAGUUAUAGUAUCGGGAUUUAGCCCGUUGUGCCCGACCCGGCCCGACAUCAUAACGGGCCAGGUUCGGGUUAACUAAAUUGGCCUGUUGGGGCUCGUUAAGGCAUUAACUUGAAAAUUCGACUUCGGCUGUUCGAGUCUUCGACUAACAAUUCGA
Long non-coding RNA from Nymphaea colorata (pocket water lily), 3122 nucleotides. RefSeq lists it as uncharacterized. Lineage: Eukaryota; Viridiplantae; Streptophyta; Magnoliopsida; Nymphaeales; Nymphaeaceae. The record is from RefSeq and is a predicted model, not a curated record. The transcript is spliced from 3 exons.